UGCGCGAGUCAUUGAGACAUUGCGAAACUUAUAGGCGAAAUGAAAGUGAAGUGCAGCCUCGCGCUGCACGAGGGCGGAUGGACGGUGCUAAGACGCCGUCCCGCACGCCCGGGGCGUCCCAUUCUCAUUGCGAGACGGGGCGCACCAAGAGCGUACACGCUGGGACCCGAAAGAUGGUGAACUAUGCCUGGUCAGGACGAAGUCAGGGGAAACCCUGAUGGAGGUCCGUAGCGAUUCUGACGUGCAAAUCGAUCGUCGGAGCUAGGUAUAGCGGCGAAAGACUAAUCGAACUAUCUAGUAGCUGGUUCCCUCCGAAGUUUCCCUCAGGAUAGCUGGCGCUCGUUGUUGCGAGUCUCAUCCGGUAAAGCGAAUGAUUAGAGGCAUUGGGGUCGAAACGGCCUCAACCUAUUCUCAAACUUUAAAUGGGUGAGAUCUCCGGCUUGCUCGAACGUGAAGCCGCGAGAUUUCGGAUCAGAGUGCCAAGUGGGCCACUUUUGGUAAGCAGAACUGGCGCUGUGGGAUGAACCAAACGCCGAGUUAAAGCGCCUAAAUCGACGCUUAUGGGAUACCAUGAAAGGCGUUG
Molecule: ribosomal RNA, 583 nt
Filed under: Ochthebius puncticollis
Lineage: Eukaryota; Metazoa; Arthropoda; Insecta; Coleoptera; Hydraenidae
Description: eukaryotic LSU rRNA
Rfam family: Eukaryotic large subunit ribosomal RNA
Source: RNAcentral